GACGAACGCUGGCGGCGUGCCUAAUACAUGCAAGUUGAGCGCUGAAGGUUGGUACUUGUACCAACUGGGUGAGCAGCGAACGGGUGAGUAACGCGUGGGGAAUCUGCCUUUGAGCGGGGGACAACAUUGGGAAACGAAUGCUAAUACCGCAUAAAAACUUGAAACACAAGGGUGAAGUGUGAAAGAUGCAAUUGCAUCACUCAAAGAUGAUCCCGCGUUGUAUUAGCUAGUUGGUGAGGUAAAGGCUCACCAAGGCGAGGAUACAUAGCCGACCUGAGAGGGUGAUCGCCCGCCUUGGGACUGAGACACGGCCCAAACUCCUACGGGAGGCCGCAGUAGGGAAUCUUCGGCAAUGGACGAAAGUCUGACCGAGCAACGCCGCGUGAGUGAAGACGGUUUUCGGAUCGUAAAACUCUGUUGGUAGAGAAGAACGUUGGUGAGCGUGGAAAGCUCAUCAAGUGCCGGUAUCUGCCCAGAAAGGGACGCCUACCUCCGU
This 496-nucleotide ribosomal RNA is filed under the name uncultured bacterium. Its description in RNAcentral is "partial 16S ribosomal RNA". It matches the Rfam family "Bacterial small subunit ribosomal RNA", at positions 28 to 506 of the family's 1533-position model. The record is from RNAcentral.